Molecule: ribosomal RNA, 413 nt
Filed under: uncultured prokaryote
Description: bacterial SSU rRNA
Rfam family: Bacterial small subunit ribosomal RNA
Source: RNAcentral
GUGCCAGCAGCCGCGGUAAUACGUACUGGGCGAACGUUAUUCGGAAUCACUGGGCUUAAAGGGUGCGUAGGCGGUUCGGCAAGUCAGAUGUGAAAUCCCCCGGCCCAACCGGGGAACUGCGUUUGAAACUGCCGGACUUGAGUGCGAUAGGGGUGUGCGGAACUUCCAGUGGAGCGGUGAAAUGUGUUGAUAUUGGAAGGAACGCCGGUGGCGAAAGCGGCACACUGGGUCGUAACUGACGCUGAGGCACGAAAGCCAGGGGAGCGAACGGGAUUAGAUACCCCGGUAGUCCUGGCUGUAAACGAUGGGCACUAGACGGGAGGCGCUUCGGCGCAUCCAGUCGCAGCGAAAGCACUAAGUGCCCCGCCUGGGGAGUAUGGUCGCAAGGCUGAAACUCAAAUGAAUUGACGGGG